This 349-nucleotide long non-coding RNA is filed under the name Homo sapiens (human). RNAcentral's name for it is "HSALNT0119636". The record is from RNAcentral. Lineage: Eukaryota; Metazoa; Chordata; Mammalia; Primates; Hominidae.
CAAGACUCUGUCUCAAAAAAAAAAAAAAAAAAAAAAAAUUUGUGGUGUAGUGGGAGUGCCAUAGCAUAUUUUGAUAUCUGUAUCUGUGUUCAUAAUAUAUAAUAUCAAAUAUCCCAAAACUGUUUGUCCUAACCUUUCAGCUUUGCAUUGGAGCCAAUCAUUACUUCUGUUGAAAAUACAUAUUUUAAUCUACAUAUUGUUAUAAAAUAUAUCCUCAAAAAACUCAUGAUGUAAAACCAUCAGAUCUCUCACUCAUUAUCAUGAGAACAGCAUGGAGGAAACCACCCCCAUGAUCCAGUUACUUCCACCUGGUCCUGCCCUGUACACAUGAGGAUUAUUACAAUUCAAG